UACGGAGGGUGCGAGCGUUAAUCGGAAUUACUGGGCGUAAAGCGCACGNAGGCGGUUUGUUAAGNUAGAUGUGAAAGCCCCGGGCUCAACCNGGGAUGGUCAUUUAGAACUGGCAGACUAGAGUCUUGGNGAGGGGAGUGGAAUUCCAGGUGUAGCGGUGAAAUGCGUAGAUAUCUGGAGGAACAUCAGUGGCGAAGGCGNCUCCCUGGCCAAAGACUGACGCUCAUGUGCGAAAGUGUGGGUAGCGAACAGG
RNAcentral lists this ribosomal RNA (253 nucleotides) under uncultured bacterium. Its description in RNAcentral is "partial 16S ribosomal RNA". It matches the Rfam family "Bacterial small subunit ribosomal RNA", at positions 524 to 776 of the family's 1533-position model. The record is from RNAcentral.